This 2976-nucleotide long non-coding RNA is filed under the name Piliocolobus tephrosceles (Ugandan red Colobus). RNAcentral describes it as "lncRNA (ENSPTEG00000004386.1)". The record is from RNAcentral. Lineage: Eukaryota; Metazoa; Chordata; Mammalia; Primates; Cercopithecidae.
AUAAAUAACGAAUAAAUAACGAAUAAAAUAACGAACAAACAAUGAAUAUAUAAAAUAAUAUAUUAAAAUUAAAAAAACAAUUAAAUACCAUCGUUUCUAAUUUUUUUUUAUUAAUAAUUUAAAUAAAAUAAAUAAAGUAUCUAUUUAUGUUUUACAUAUUUUUACAAAUAACUUUUCUUAUUUACAAUAUUUACAUUGCAAGAUAAACAUAUACAUACGUAUAUAUAAAUAUUUAUUUAUAUGUUUUUACUUAUAUGCGUUUAACAAAGUGUUAUUAAAUGCAUAUAUUUAUAUAUUUAUAUAUAAAAAUAUAAAAAUAUAAAAAUAGAUUAAUAAGUAUAUAAACAAAUAGAUUAAUAAGUAUAUAAANNNNNNNNNNAAAUAGAUUAAUAAGUAUAUAAACAAAUAGAUUAAUAAGUAUAUAAAUAUAUAUGUAUAUAUAUACAUGUAUAUAUGUGUGCUAAUGCAUUAAUUUUUUUAUUUAUACUUACAUUUUGUUAAUUUGCUGUUUGUCGAUUUUUAUUUUAAAAAAUACAAGUUUACAUAAAAAAAAAAAAAAAAAUGAACAACAAUAAAGACAAUAGUAAUGUAAAUAAUAUUAGGAAAGUUGUAAAGGAUAGAAGUACAAGUAAGAGUUUUGGUGAUAAAAUAAAAGAGAAUGGUAAUUUAUAUGAAGAUAAGUACAGAAAUAAAAAAAAUAAUGAAAAUAACUAUAAAAAUAAAGCAUCAAUAAACAAUGUAGAUAACAAACGAGAAGACAUUAACAGUAAUAAUUAUAAUAACAACUCUAAUAUUCAAACAAAAAAGAAAGAGGAAGUUCAUAAUAAAGUAAUUAGCAGCGAUAAUAUUAACAGUAAUAAUACUAAAAAUGAUAAAGAUGAAGAGAAGAAAAAAUCGACUAAAAAAAAAAAUAAUAACAAAUCUGUUGAUUUGGAUGAAAAUGUAGACAAUGACAUUAAUAACAUAAUUAGCAACAGUAACAACGACAGUAACGAGAAUAACGAAAAUAACGAAAGUAACGAAAAUGACGAAAGUAACGAAAGUAACGAAAGUAACGAAAGUAACGAAAGUAAAGACAAUAAAAACAGUAACGAAAAUAACAGUAACAACACCACCACCACCAACAACAACAACAACAACAGUUUUAAAAAAAAGGAAGAAAAAAGUAGUGACUAUAAUAAUGAAAAGAAAAAAAGAGAAGAUAAUAAAAACAAUAACAACAAACAUAACAAUAUGAACAAUUACAAAUAUUCAACAAAUCAAUUGAAUAAAACAUUAAAGGAAAAAAAACAUAUGACAAAAGUUGAUAGAAUCGAAAAUUUACAUUAUAAUAAUAUGUAUAAUAAUAAUGGUAAUAAUUGGAAAAAUAAUAAUAAUAAUAAUAAUAACAAUAAUAAUAAUAAUAAUAACAAUAAUUAUAAUUAUAAAAAUAAUGAAAAGGUACAAAAUAAUUUAGUUUAUCAUAGAUCUAAAAAUAAUAAUAUGAAUAAUGAUUAUAAUGUAAAGAAAGAUAAAAUAAACAGUUUUAAUAAUAAUAAUAAUAAUAAUAAUAUGAAAGAUUUAAAUAAAAAAGGGAAUUUUAAUAAUAAGAAUAAAAAUGGUACAUCUAAUGAAAACUCUAACGAUGGUAGGCAUGAUGAAAGAUCGGAUGGGAGGAAUAAUGGAAGGAAUGAUAAUAAGAGUAAUUAUAACAAUCAUACAGGUAAUUAUAACAAUCAUACAGGUAACUAUAACAAUCAUACAGGUAAUUAUAACAAUCAUACAGGUAACUAUAACAAUCAUACAGGUAACUAUAACAAUCAUACAAGUAACUAUAACAAUCAUACAAGUAAUUAUAGUGAUGUAGGAAAUUAUAGUAGUAAUAAUAAUUAUAAUAGUAGUGGUAAUUAUGGUAGUACGGGUAAUUAUAAUUUGACUGGUAGUUAUAGUAGUACUAGUAACUAUAACACUACUAAUGGCUAUAAUAAUACUGGUACUUAUAACAGCACUGGCAACUACAAUAAUAAUAAUAAUUUUAUUGGAAAUUAUGCUAGCUGUAUUCCAUAUAAUUAUUAUAUUGAUGAUCAUGAUAAUAAAAAUAUAGAUUUUUCAAAUUUUUAUGCUUCUAAAAUGUAUUUAACUACAACAGCACCAACGGUAGCAGCUACAGGUGUAGGUACAACAGCGGCAACAAUUAGUGGAGCUACAAGUAAUGAACCAUACACAAGUAAUGAAACAGCAUAUGACAUACGCUACAACUAUAAUAAUAUAUUAAGUGAUUAUUAUAGCUAUAUUCCAUUAAAUUAUUAUUAUUAUAAUAUGAAUAAUAUGUACUUAGGAAAUAAUAAUAAUAAUAAUAAUAAUGCAGAAGUAGCAACAGUAGCAACAGUGGCAGCAGGAAAUACAAACACAGCAACUAAUAAUGUAUCUAAUAUAUGUUCUGACAAUAAUAGUAAUACAAACAACAACAUUGUCACUAAUAGUAGUAACAGUAAUAGCAAAAAUGGAACUGCUACUAUGGGAACUACUACUAUGGGAGCUGCUACAAUAGGAACUGCUACAAUAGGAACUGCAACUAUUGUAAAUAAUAAUGUAAAAAAUAGAAAAAAUAAAAAAUAUUCUUUUGAUAAAAAUAAAAAAAAAAAUUAUAAUAAUAAUAAUAAUAAUAAUAACAUGAACAAUUCAGGUAUAUAUAAUGAAUUUAAAAAUCGAUUGAUUGAUAUAUUUAAAAGAGAAAAUGUUAUGUCUGAUGAUUAUUUGUUAUAUUAUAUAUAUAACAAUAUAAAAUUGAAUAUUGAUAUUAUUGCUCGACACCCAUAUAUAGCUCAAUUAAUUAAUAAUAAUACUAGUAGUAACAGUAAUAAUAAUAAUAGUAACAGUAAUAAUAAUACUAGUAAUAAUAAUAGUAAUAAUAAUACUAGUAANNNNNNNNNNAUAAUAAUACUAGUAAUAAUAAUAGUAAUAAUAAUACUAGUAAUAAUGUUAUUAACAAUAUAA